GAUGAACGCUGGCGGCGUGCCUAAUACAUGCAAGUCGAGCGAACGGACGAGAAGCUUGCUUCUCUGAUGUUAGCGGCGGACGGGUGAGUAACACGUGGAUAACCUACCUAUAAGACUGGGAUAACUUCGGGAAACCGGAGCUAAUACCGGAUAAUAUUUUGAACCGCAUGGUUCAAAAGUGAAAGACGGUCUUGCUGUCACUUAUAGGUGGAUCCGCGCUGCAUUAGCUAGUUGAUAAGGUAACGGCUUACCAAGGCAACGAUGCAUAGCCGACCUGAGAGGGUGAUCGGCCACACUGGAACUGAGACACGGUCCAGACUCCUACGGGAGGCAGCAGUAGGGAAUCUUCCGCAAUGGGCGAAAGCCUGACGGAGCAACGCCGCGUGAGUGAUGAAGGUCUUCGGAUCGUAAAACUCUGUUAUUAGGGAAGAACAUAUGUGUAAGUAACUGUGCACAUCUUGACGGUACCUAAUCAGAAAGCCACGGCUAACUACGUG
Molecule: ribosomal RNA, 497 nt
Filed under: uncultured bacterium
Lineage: Bacteria
Description: partial 16S ribosomal RNA
Rfam family: Bacterial small subunit ribosomal RNA
Source: RNAcentral